This 253-nucleotide ribosomal RNA is filed under the name uncultured bacterium. RNAcentral describes it as "partial 16S ribosomal RNA". It matches the Rfam family "Bacterial small subunit ribosomal RNA", at positions 524 to 776 of the family's 1533-position model. The record is from RNAcentral.
UACGAAGGGGGCUAGCGUUGCUCGGAAUCACUGGGCGUAAAGCGCACGUAGGCGGGGUUUUAAGUCAGGGGUGAAAUCCUGGAGCUCAACUCCAGAACUGCCUUUGAUACUGAAGAUCUUGAGUCCGGGAGAGGUGAGUGGAACUGCGAGUGUAGAGGUGAAAUUCGUAGAUAUUCGCAAGAACACCAGUGGCGAAGGCGGCUCACUGGCCCGGUACUGACGCUGAGGCACGAAAGCGUGGGGAGCAAACAGG